AGUUCGAUAGCGCAACGGUAUCGCGUCUCUCCCACUUUGCCUUUGCAUCGCGUCCUAGUUGUCGAGAGAAAGUUCUCGGUUCGAAUCCGAGUCGAGCUA
Non-coding RNA from Stereum hirsutum FP-91666 SS1, 99 nucleotides. NCBI's taxonomy places the organism in Eukaryota, Fungi, Basidiomycota, Agaricomycetes, Russulales, Stereaceae. The record is from the annotation of a RefSeq genome assembly.